UACGAAGGGUGCAAGCGUUACUCGGAAUUACUGGGCGUAAAGCGCGCGCAGGUGGUUUCUUAAGUCUGAUGUGAAAGCCCACGGCUCAACCGUGGAGGGUCAUUGGAAACUGGGGAACUUGAGUGCAGGAGAGAAGAGUGGAAUUACCACGUGUAAGCGGUGAAAUGCGUAGAGAUGUGGAGGAACACCAGUGGCGGAAGGC
This 202-nucleotide ribosomal RNA is filed under the name uncultured bacterium. Its description in RNAcentral is "partial 16S ribosomal RNA". It matches the Rfam family "Bacterial small subunit ribosomal RNA", at positions 524 to 722 of the family's 1533-position model. The record is from RNAcentral.